This is a long non-coding RNA of Dreissena polymorpha, 579 nucleotides long. RefSeq lists it as uncharacterized. Lineage: Eukaryota; Metazoa; Mollusca; Bivalvia; Myida; Dreissenidae. The transcript has 2 exons. The record is from RefSeq and is a predicted model, not a curated record.
UCUUGCCAGUGAACUUUCAACGCCGUUGGUGCUCUCGUUGUAAAACUGUCAGGUUUAAGAUAGUGAAUAUUAGACAAGGUUCGGAUAGAAAUAAAGGAAAAUACACAUGUAAGGAAGAGACGUUAAAAUGCAUGUUUGAACAAGCCCAAGGACAAGAAAAAGAAACUUUUUCCUCCUGGUGCUGAAGAUUAUACCAGCGCAUCUCCAGGCGACCGUCGACCGGCAUGUACCAGUUCGACGUCUGUCAAAGAGACACCAAAUGAUUAGUUACGCCCAGCCUUUCAUGACUAUCUUGUAAAUGCUCCACAGAAACAAGAAAACAAAAAAGCAAGGUCAUCAAGAAAGAAAUUAUUUCAAAAUAUCACUUUAGAAAACAUGACUGAAAAAGUGACACAGCUAUAACCAGGUUUUUUCAAAAAUGACACUCGGCAAAUUUAUACUAUGACUUUUGUAACUUUAUCCAUUUGGUAUGUAACAACACGUUUCCGCUAACAAAUAUUGCUUUGCUAUUGUUUCUGAAUGCUGGACAUGUAACUUUGAUAAAUGGAAGAUUAUCGUAAAUAAAUUCAGCUAACGAUG